This 498-nucleotide ribosomal RNA is filed under the name uncultured bacterium. RNAcentral's name for it is "partial 16S ribosomal RNA". It matches the Rfam family "Bacterial small subunit ribosomal RNA", at positions 28 to 507 of the family's 1533-position model. The record is from RNAcentral.
GACGAACGCUGGCGGCGUGCCUAAUACAUGCAAGUCGAGCGGACGGAUGGGAGCUUGCUCCCAGACCGUCAGCGGCGGACGGGUGAGUAACACGUGGGCAACCUGCCUGUAAGACUGGGAUAACUCCGGGAAACCGGGGCUAAUACCGGAUAACUCUUUCCCUCACAUGAGGGAAAGCUGAAAGAUGGCAUCUCGCUAUCACUUACAGAUGGGCCCGCGGCGCUUUAGCUAGUUGGUGAGGUAACGGCUCACCAAGGCGACGAUGCGUAGCCGACCUGAGAGGGUGAUCGGCCACACUGGGACUGAGACACGGCCCAGACUCCUACGGGAGGCAGCAGUAGGGAAUCUUCCGCAAUGGACGAAAGUCUGACGGAGCAACGCCGCGUGAGUGAUGAAGGUUUUCGGAUCGUAAAACUCUGUUGUCAGGGAAGAACAAGUACCGGAGUAACUGCCGGUACCUUGACGGUACCUGACCAGAAAGCCACGGCUAACUACGUG